UACGGAGGGGGCUAGCGUUGUUCGGAAUUACUGGGCGUAAAGCGCGCGUAGGCGGAUCUGCAAGUCGGGGGUGAAAUCCCGAGGCUCAACCUCGGAACUGCCUUCGAUACUGCGGGUCUCGAGUCCGGAAGAGGUGAGUGGAAUUCCUAGUGUAGAGGUGAAAUUCGUAGAUAUUAGGAAGAACACCAGUGGCGAAGGCGGCUCACUGGUCCGGUACUGACGCUGAGGUGCGAAAGCGUGGGGAGCAAACAGG
RNAcentral lists this ribosomal RNA (253 nucleotides) under uncultured bacterium. RNAcentral describes it as "partial 16S ribosomal RNA". It matches the Rfam family "Bacterial small subunit ribosomal RNA", at positions 524 to 776 of the family's 1533-position model. The record is from RNAcentral.